This 72-nucleotide transfer RNA is filed under the name uncultured archaeon. RNAcentral's name for it is "tRNA-Gly". It matches the Rfam family "tRNA". From Rfam's summary of the family: Transfer RNA (tRNA) molecules are approximately 80 nucleotides in length. Their secondary structure includes four short double-helical elements and three loops (D, anti-codon, and T loops). The record is from RNAcentral.
GCGGGUAUGGUUUAGUGGUAGAACGCGAUCCUUCCAAGAUCGAUGCGCCGUUUCGAUUACGGCUACCCGCAC